UCCUGCCUGCCCAGUGAAGUUUCACCGGCCGAGGUAUUUUGACCGUGCAAAGGUAGCGUAAUCACUUGUCUUUUAAAUAAAGACCUGUAUGAAUGGCAAAACGAGGGCUUAGCUGUCUCCCAUUUCUAGUCAGUGAAAUUGAUCUGCCCGUGCAGAAGCGGACAUAAAACUACAAGACGAGAAGACCCUUUGGAGCUUAAGACCCCGGACCACCUAUGUUAAUAAACCAGAUUAAUAGGAUUAAACUAAAUAGCUUAUUGGCCCCUGUCUUCGGUUGGGGCGACCGCGGAGGAAAACAAAGCCUCCAUGUGGANUGGGKCUAUCGCCCCAAAAUUAAGAGGGACACCUCUAAAUCGCAAAACAUUUGACCAAAAAGAUCCGGCCCCCCUAGGCCGAUCAACGAACCAAGUUACCCUAGGGAUAACAGCGCAAUCCCCUCCCAGAGUCCCUAUCGACAAGGGGGUUUACGACCUCGAUGUUGGAUCAGGACAUCCUAAUGGUGCAGCCGCUAUUAAGGGUUCGUUUUGU
RNAcentral lists this ribosomal RNA (528 nucleotides) under Eigenmannia cf. virescens. Its description in RNAcentral is "partial 16S ribosomal RNA". It matches the Rfam family "Bacterial large subunit ribosomal RNA", at positions 1853 to 2581 of the family's 2925-position model. Lineage: Eukaryota; Metazoa; Chordata; Actinopteri; Gymnotiformes; Sternopygidae. The record is from RNAcentral.